AACGGCGAUACCCUGCUGAAUAUACCGGUUCUCUUUAGAUCACCGAUGUCAAGCAUCAUUGGGCGCGGUCAGUACUUGGGUGGGUGACCAUCUGGGAAAACACCGCGUGCUGU
Molecule: ribosomal RNA, 113 nt
Filed under: Caerostris darwini
Lineage: Eukaryota; Metazoa; Arthropoda; Arachnida; Araneae; Araneidae
Source: RNAcentral